This is a long non-coding RNA of Bombus impatiens (common eastern bumble bee), 3420 nucleotides long. RefSeq lists it as uncharacterized. The record is from RefSeq and is a predicted model, not a curated record. The transcript is spliced from 3 exons. NCBI's taxonomy places the organism in Eukaryota, Metazoa, Arthropoda, Insecta, Hymenoptera, Apidae.
UUAGGACUAAUACUUGAAACUCAUCAAGUACCAAGAUUGUCAUUCAAAUCAUGUUGUUGCUGUUCGAUAUGUACCGAUUUCGCUAGCACUCGACACGAGCGAUAUUAAAGUACAUAUCUGUUUGAUUAAUAGUUACGGCGAUUCAUCAAGUCAAGAGUAUAUACAUGCACACAUGUACACGUAUCAUCAUCUAUGCACGUAUCUGGACACGCAUACGCAGAUAGAACUGGCAUGCUCCACAUAGAUACUGGUUUGAAACGAAUCCUACAAAGAAUUCAAAAUACCAACUUAGCAUUGACUAUCUCGCGCUACCUUAAUGCUUUUAUAUCCUCUAAACUGCUACUGGCUACUGCCUUCUUUCUCAUCCUCUUUCUUCCUUCCAGUCGUUCCUCUUUCACGACAAGAAAACGAGGAGUUCGCGUGCGUGUCUUGAAGCUAUGCAACAGGGAGAGAUCCAGGGAAGCUGGUACGAGAGAUAAACCAAUACCGAGGCCGGUAGCGAGCAGUGCGUGACACGUUGAACCGUGUGUACUGUGUGUGUUGGCGCCAGGCCGCAUUCUCGCAUUCGUUAACUAACACAUCGAGUUAAGUCCCUCCGCAGCUCGUGCCUUGUUCUCCCUCGCCUUCCCCUACCUCCAUCAUCUCCACCUCCUCCUCACCAACCCUCUACCCCGUCCCGGGAACCCUUCGCGAUAUUAAGAGCGGUCACGGAUCCCAAAUUUGCCAUCCGUAGAGAGGCGGGACACCGAUUUGUCCUCGUCCCGUUUGCACGCCACCGGUACGUGGUAAGAUGACCGGUUUCUACUGGUGUACAUCGGUCGCCAAUCGUGUUUCGGAACAAAGUGGUUCUCCAGAGGAGACUACAUCCGUGUCCAGCUAUCGAAACUUAUUGUCUCGGGUGAUUAUCAAUCGUGAUAUCGUUUCAUCCUUGAAACCCGAUGACGCACGUUGAUCGACUCCGAAGACGGAGUUACGGUAGAGUAUAUUAAACAAUAAAACGCCAACUGCCUCGCUUAUUCGUUGUAUAUUUUAUGCGCAACUUCUUCCACUUCUUCAAGUAUUUUCUCGUUUAUCUUUGUGGUCAAGGCGAGUUCCAUUUAAAAAAGCUUCUUCGACAGAUAUUCAUGGGACAUUAACGAUACGAAGCGGGGACACGGAGUCGUGCCCAGAAGUUCCUUUCUUCUCUCAUCGAGGAAAAGCGCGAUGAUGCAUCGUGUCAAUGGAAUUCAUAGAAACCGGUCGGUGAAAACGCGAGCCGCGCGGAUCGUGAGAUUGUAUUUACUGUCGCUUCAAUGAUCCACGGAGAGACGACCGUCGAGCGCAGCGGAUAAGGAGCUUCGAGAGACGAUAAAAGAAUCGAACGUUAUCGCACGAAUUAGUGACGGUUAUUGUACCUGAGAUGCUAUUGCAGGGAACCAGUGGCAGGACCGUGGACCGCGUUAAACAUCGUGUAAAAGCUUGACAGUGAAAACGAUAACGGAGAAUGACGAAAACGACGAAGAGAGGAUGGAGAAUUUCAACGGAUUAACAUUCCAGCAGCGUUCCUAACCACUUCGAAAUUCAUCGUGACAACGCGAACGAUAAGAAGAAUCUAUAAGAAGAAUCAGGCGAAGCUUUUUAAUGGUUUUUGAUCAGCUCGAAGUCUACCUUGUCACCAAACACGAUAAGAGAUACAACGAUGUUAACAAUGGUAAAAAAUGACGAGUAUCACUGACUUUAUUAAAUGUGUAUUCUAGAUGCGUUUUUUGAUGGUUUGUUCGUGAACGUUUGACGCGCAGAGGCAGUAUACGUAUAGGAUGAUAAUAAAAAAUGUAAGUUUCACCGAAUCAACGUUCCAAGAACAUUCUUAUUAAUUCAUCUACCUGGAAAUACGUUGUGACAACUAAAAUGAGUAGCACGAAGAUUUCAGCCAUGUCGUCCCACGAUUUUCAUAUAUCAAGCUUCAACGCGACAAUAGCACGGUAAUAAUAAGAAUGAGAAGAAGCAUAAAGAAAAAGAACGGUGAAGAUCUACAAGUUUCAUCGAACCAACAUUCCAAGAGCGUUCUUGGCAGUUCACCUACCUCAAAAUCCAUUCUCCCUCUCUCCUGAGAUACCUAUGGCGCUUAGCCACGAUCUCCAAAGCGUGAUUCGAAGGAAAGGGUGCGAUCUUACCGCGUUGACAGUAUCACAGGUAAAAGAAGAAAGUGAGAAAAUAAAAAAACGAAGAUAUGCAAUAAUAAGAGAGGAGUGGCAUAACUCGCACAUAAUGCGUCGCAAUUAACCCCCCUCGCUUACAUGUAAUUUUAAUAAGUACGCGUUACGGUAUGUAUAAAUUUGCAUAGGCACACAGAACGUAAUAAGCACCUGGAAUUAAUGUUAUCGCGCGCGAGGCAGUAGCCGGGAUUAAAAAUGUGUCCGAGCGUUUGCAUGGAUGAGAGAACGGUCGUGGUCCGGUCAUGGACCAAAAGAAAUGCAAAAGGAAACUCGAAUAUAUGUAUAAAAUUCGUGUUGCGAUAGCACGUUUACAUCGUUUAACAUGUACCAUAUAUUUGACUCGAUUGUUAAAUAAUCAUCAAGAUACAGUAUGAUGUGACUUUGCUUUCAAGGUAUCAACCGUUUAUGAAGUCCGAGUGUCGGUCGUACGUGUCGUCUACUAGCUGCUACAACAGAGGAAGAAAGAUGACAAGGAAAAGAGAGAGAGGAAAAGAGAUAAACAAGCAGAAGACAAGGAGAGUAAGAAUAAAAGAAAGAGAGGGAUCUACGAGCGAAUUAUCUGGUAUUUUCUUUCAGCCUGCGGACGGCUAAGCAAAGGUCAAAAGUUGAGCAAUGCUAUCCUUAUCGAUGCAAACACCGCCUUCGCAUAUGCAGUGCGCAAGCAUCGAGAGAUUGGCGGGACUUCUUGCCUUCUCGCGUGAAAACGUUCACGCUAGUCACGCUGGUGCCAUUGUCGAAGAAAAUCUUGAUCGCGUGCCGCACCAAUUUUUCUCCCUGAUUUCCGCUUUGCCGUGACACUUUCGAGAGGCUUUACCGUUGCUACUUAUAUAUCGACGAAUUACUUUCAGUGAAUCGUCCAGAGAAGAGAACGAUAUCGAGAUACUCGUGAAUCAUAGAGCAGGUUAUAGGAAGCACCCGAUUAUUAGAAUCGUUAAAGAUGUAUCACGAACGAGAAGACUUAUUGCGAGGAUCUUGUGAACCCUCGAGACUCGUGCUCGAUAGAAACCGCACGACGAAAUUAAGGGAGCACGCAUGGUUGUUUCACGUGCGGAACUUCCGGUUGCUGAUCCGUGCGAACACACACAAGCGACAAAUAGAUUGACGAUUGCCGAUAAAAAGAUAGAAACGGAUGGAAAGCGAGAGAAGGGGCAAAAGAGGAGAGACUCGAGUCGGUGUACACACAUAAUGUACGAGUCCUGAGAGGAGUCGGAGUCCCUCCCGGAGG